RNAcentral lists this ribosomal RNA (489 nucleotides) under Ignavibacteriota bacterium. RNAcentral's name for it is "bacterial SSU rRNA". It matches the Rfam family "Bacterial small subunit ribosomal RNA", at positions 1104 to 1533 of the family's 1533-position model. The record is from RNAcentral. Lineage: Bacteria; Pseudomonadati; Ignavibacteriota.
UAACUUUUUAAUACCUGUUUUUGGAUUUAGGUGCACUAUAAAAAUACUGCUAUUGAAAAAUAGAGGAAGGCAUGGAUUAUGACAGGUCCUUAUGGUUCUUAUGUUUAGGGCUACACAUGUGUUACAAUGGUCAUUACAAUGGUUUGCUAGUCCGUCAGGAUUUUCCAAUACUUAAAAAUGAUCUUAGUUCGGAUCGAAGUCUGCAAUUCGACUUCGUUAAGCUGGAUUUGAUAGUAAUCACAAAGUAGAGCGUUGUGGUGAAUUUUGCAAUUCUAUUCGUACAAAUUGCCCGUCAAUUCAAGGAAUUUUAGGGUGAACUGAAUUUAGAUUGUUAAUUCUAAUAUUUUUCUAUGGUUCUUUUACUUCCUUCUCUUGUUGUAAAAUCUUUAGUUAAAUAUUAGUUAGACUUCUAAUCUCGUAGCUCUUGAAACUUUGAAUAAGUCGUAACAAAGUCGCUGUACGGGAACGUGCAGCGGGAUGAUACUUUAU